CGCGGCCUAUCAGCUAGUUGGUGAGGUAACGGCUCACCAAGGCGACGACGGGUAGCCGGCCUGAGAGGGCGACCGGCCACACUGGGACUGAGACACGGCCCAGACUCCUACGGGAGGCAGCAGUGGGGAAUAUUGCACAAUGGGCGAAAGCCUGAUGCAGCGACGCCGCGUGAGGGAUGACGGCCUUCGGGUUGUAAACCUCUUUCAGCAGGGAAGAAGCGAAAGUGACGGUACCUGCAGAAGAAGCGCCGGCUAACUACGUGCCAGCAGCCGCGGUAAUACGUAGGGCGCAAGCGUUGUCCGGAAUUAUUGGGCGUAAAGAGCUCGUAGGCGGCUUGUCACGUCGGUUGUGAAAGCCCGGGGCUUAACCCCGGGUCUGCAGUCGAUACGGGCAGGCUAGAGUUCGGUAGGGGAGAUCGGAAUUCCUGGUGUAGCGGUGAAAUGCGCAGAUAUCAGGAGGAACACCGGUGGCGAAGGCGGAUCUCUGGGCCGAUACUGACGCUGAGGAGCGAAAGCGUGGGGAGCGAACAGGAUUAGAUACCCUGGUAGUCCACGCCGUAAACGGUG
Molecule: ribosomal RNA, 567 nt
Filed under: Streptomyces sp. AK-1
Lineage: Bacteria; Bacillati; Actinomycetota; Actinomycetes; Kitasatosporales; Streptomycetaceae
Description: bacterial SSU rRNA
Rfam family: Bacterial small subunit ribosomal RNA
Source: RNAcentral